GAUGAACGCUGGCGGCGUGCUUAACACAUGCAAGUCGAACGGAAAGGCCCCUUUGGGGGUACUCGAGUGGCGAACGGGUGAGUAACACGUGAGUAACCUGCCCUUGACUUCGGGAUAACUUCAGGAACCUGGGGCAAAUACCGGAAAGGAAUCCUUGCUGCACGGUGGGGGUUGGAGAGCUUCGGGGGUUUUGGCUGGACUCGCGGCCUAUCGGCUUGUUGGUGGGGUAGUGGGUUACCGAGGCAAUGACGGGUAGCCGGACUGAGAGGGCGACCGGCCACAUUGGGACUGAGAGGCGGCCCAGGCUCCUACGGGAGGCAGCAGGGGGGAAUAUUGCACAAUGGGCGGAGGCCUGAUGCAGCAACGCCGCGUGCGGGAUGGCGGCCUUCGGGUUGUAGACCGCUUUCAGCAGGGGCGAAGCUUGUGGUGACGGUACCUGCAGAAGAAGCACCGGCUAACUACGUG
Molecule: ribosomal RNA, 465 nt
Filed under: uncultured bacterium
Lineage: Bacteria
Description: partial 16S ribosomal RNA
Rfam family: Bacterial small subunit ribosomal RNA
Source: RNAcentral